Molecule: unclassified non-coding RNA, 575 nt
Filed under: leaf metagenome
Description: partial contains small subunit ribosomal RNA, internal transcribed spacer 1, 5.8S ribosomal RNA, and internal transcribed spacer 2
Rfam family: 5.8S ribosomal RNA (bases 242-394)
Source: RNAcentral
AGUCGUAACAAGGUUUCCGUAGGUGAACCUGCGGAAGGAUCAUUACCGAGUUAGGGUCGCCCCCGCGCGCCCGACCUCCAACCCUUUGUCUACCCGACCUUAUUGUUGCUUCGGCAGGCCCGCCGCCCCUCGUGGGUGGCCGCCGGGGGCUUAACCGCCCCGGGCCCGCGCCUGUCGAUGGCCCACCCACAAACUCUUGUACUUAAACGUGUCGUCUGAGUUAACAAACAAAAUAAAACAAAACUUUCAACAACGGAUCUCUUGGUUCUGGCAUCGAUGAAGAACGCAGCGAAAUGCGAUAAGUAAUGCGAAUUGCAGAAUCCGUGAGUCAUCGAAUCUUUGAACGCACAUUGCGCCCUCUGGUAUUCCGGAGGGCAUGCCUGUUCGAGCGUCAUUAUCACCCCUCAAGCCCGGCUUGUUGUUGGACGCGGCGGCGCCUUUUGCGCCCCGCCCGUCUCAAAGAUAAUGACGGCGUCUGCGAGGACCCCUGUACACUGAGCUUUCGGGCACGUACUAGGUGUGGAAUCCAGACCCGGUCACCGUCCCUUCUAGGGACAAAACUUUUAACCAGGUGA